CAGUCGCCGCGGGAAUACGAAGGGGGCUAGCGUUGUUCGGAUUUACUGGGCGUAAAGGGCGCGUAGGCGGACUGAUAAGUCAGGGGUGAAAUCCCAAGGCUCAACCUUGGAACUGCCUUUGAUACUGUUUGUCUUGAGUUCGAGAGAGGUAAGUGGAACUGCGAGUGUAGAGGUGAAAUUCGUAGAUAUUCGCAAGAACACCAGUGGCGUAGGCGGCUUACUGGCUCGAAACUGACGCUGAGGCGCGAAAGCGUGGGGAGCAAACAGGAUUAGAUACCCCAGUAGUCCCUGUCUCUUAUAC
This 301-nucleotide ribosomal RNA is filed under the name uncultured bacterium. RNAcentral describes it as "partial 16S ribosomal RNA". It matches the Rfam family "Bacterial small subunit ribosomal RNA", at positions 509 to 807 of the family's 1533-position model. The record is from RNAcentral.